AACGAACGCUGGCGGCAGGCCUAACACAUGCAAGUCGAACGAAGUCUUCGGACUUAGUGGCGCACGGGUGAGUAACACGUGGGAAUAUACCUUACGCUGGGAGAUAACAUCGGGAAACUGAUGCUAAUACCGCAUACGCCCUUCGGGGGAAAGAUUUAUCGGCGAAAGAUUAGCCCGCGUCCGAUUAGCUAGUUGGUGAGGUAAUGGCUCACCAAGGCUCCGAUCGGUAGCUGGUCUGAGAGGAUGACCAGCCACACUGGGACUGAGACACGGCCCAGACUCCUACGGGAGGCAGCAGUGGGGAAUAUUGGACAAUGGGCGCAAGCCUGAUCCAGCCAUGCCGCGUGAGUGAUGAAGGCCUUAGGGUUGUAAAGCUCUUUCACCCACGACGAUGAUGACGGUAGUGGGAGAAGAAGCCCCGGCUAACUUCGUG
This 433-nucleotide ribosomal RNA is filed under the name uncultured bacterium. RNAcentral describes it as "partial 16S ribosomal RNA". It matches the Rfam family "Bacterial small subunit ribosomal RNA", at positions 29 to 507 of the family's 1533-position model. The record is from RNAcentral.